GACGAACGCUGGCGGCGUGCCUAAUACAUGCAAGUAGAACGCUGAAGCUUGGUGCUUGCACCGAGCGGAUGAGUUGCGAACGGGUGAGUAACGCGUAGGUAACCUGCCUGGUAGCGGGGGAUAACUAUUGGAAACGAUAGCUAAUACCGCAUAAGAGUAGAUGUUGCAUGACAUUUGCUUAAAAGGUGCAAUUGCAUCACUACCAGAUGGACCUGCGUUGUAUUAGCUAGUUGGUGAGGUAACGGCUCACCAAGGCAACGAUACAUAGCCGACCUGAGAGGGUGAUCGGCCACACUGGGACUGAGACACGGCCCAGACUCCUACGGGAGGCAGCAGUAGGGAAUCUUCGGCAAUGGACGGAAGUCUGACCGAGCAACGCCGCGUGAGUGAAGAAGGUUUUCGGAUCGUAAAGCUCUGUUGUAAGAGAAGAACGAGUGUGAGAGUGGAAAGUUCACACUGUGACGGUAUCUUACCAGAAAGGGACGGCUAACUACGU
RNAcentral lists this ribosomal RNA (496 nucleotides) under uncultured bacterium. Its description in RNAcentral is "partial 16S ribosomal RNA". It matches the Rfam family "Bacterial small subunit ribosomal RNA", at positions 28 to 506 of the family's 1533-position model. The record is from RNAcentral.